GGCCAAACGAUCUCAGCCGUCACAAUCCAUCUGCAGCAGCUGACUUUUCCUAUCCUCACUCCCGUAGCUUUCCUCUUCCUCCCACCCCGAUCCCCUCCUCUUUCCCCAACGCUGCUCUCCUGCACUGCUCUACUCAAGCUCCAAUCCUCUCCUACAGUCCACCACCACCGUGCUCUAUAUCUCCCGUCGUGCCGUAGCUUCGCUUCACCGCCGCGCGUCACCCACCCAACCCCUCCGCCUCUCACGCUCAUCUCGACUCCAUCGCCGUUCCCCUUCUGCUCCCGUCGCGUCCCUGCCGUCUCCACCCCGUCCGUGAUCUCGGGCAUCGUUUCUUUCGUGGGAUUGGCUGACGGGAGGAGGGAGAUGAGCCGUGGGAGGUCUCCGGAGCCGCUUGAUUUCUUCAUAUGGACUGUCGAGGACGUCGGCUUGUGGCUUGAAGAGAUAAAUCUUGGUGGCUACAGACAAGUUUUUGAAGAAAAUAGUGUCAAUGGAGAGUAUCUGGAGAGCUUGUCGAUGUUUACUACCGAGCAGAUUCUGCGGUUUAUCAGGCGGUGCCAUAUGAAAUGGGGAGACUUUAUCACAUUGUGCAAAGAGUUGAGGCGCAUUAAAGUUGCCUGCCUGAAAGGGGAGCAAGAAGUCCGGAGGCCAUGGUGGGCACCAUCAUGCCUAUCAGUGGUGUUUGUGAGGGCGGCAAAGCGGAACCGACAGUCCCGAGUUGUCUCUCUUAAGCUGGAACCUUGA
Molecule: ribosomal RNA, 741 nt
Filed under: Triticum aestivum (bread wheat)
Lineage: Eukaryota; Viridiplantae; Streptophyta; Magnoliopsida; Poales; Poaceae
Description: partial small subunit ribosomal RNA
Source: RNAcentral